This 72-nucleotide transfer RNA is filed under the name Candidatus Portnoybacteria bacterium CG_4_8_14_3_um_filter_44_15. Its description in RNAcentral is "tRNA-Gln". It matches the Rfam family "tRNA". From Rfam's summary of the family: Transfer RNA (tRNA) molecules are approximately 80 nucleotides in length. Their secondary structure includes four short double-helical elements and three loops (D, anti-codon, and T loops). The record is from RNAcentral. Lineage: Bacteria; Candidatus Portnoyibacteriota.
UGGGGAGUAGCCAAGUGGUAAGGCUAUGGACUUUGAAUCCAUCAUGCGCAGGUUCGAAUCCUGCCUCCCCAG